This 882-nucleotide ribosomal RNA is filed under the name uncultured archaeon. Its description in RNAcentral is "bacterial SSU rRNA". It matches the Rfam family "Archaeal small subunit ribosomal RNA", at positions 10 to 898 of the family's 1478-position model. The record is from RNAcentral.
GAUCCCGCCGGACCUGACUGCUAUCGGAUUGAUACUAAGCCAUGCGAGUCAUUGUAGCAAUACAAGGCAGGCGGCUCAGUAACGCGUAGUCAAUCUACCCUAUGGACGGGAAUAACCUCGGGAAACUGAGAAUAAUGCCCGAUAGAACAUUAUGCCUGGAAUGGUUUAUGUUUCAAAUGAUUUAUCGCCAUAGGAUGGGACUGCGGCCUAUCAGUUUGUUGGUGAGGUAAUGGCCCACCAAGACUAUUACAGGUACGGGCUCUGAGAGGAGUAGCCCGGAGAUGGGUACUGAGACACGGACCCAGGCCCUAUGGGGCGCAGCAGGCGAGAAAACUUUGCAAUGUGCGAAAGCACGACAAGGUUAAUCCGAGUGGUUUCUGCUAAAGAAACCUUUUGUCAGUCCUAGAAACACUAACGAAUAAGGGGUGGGCAAGUUCUGGUGUCAGCCGCCGCGGUAAAACCAGCACCUCAAGUGGUCAGGAUGAUUAUUGGGCCUAAAGCAUCCGUAGCUCGUUUUGUAAGUUUUCGGUUAAAUCCAUGCGCUUAACGUAUGGGCUGCCGGGAAUACUGCAUAACUAGGAAGUGGGAGAGGUAGACGGUACUCGGUAGGAAGGGGUAAAAUCCUUUGAUCUAUUGAUGACCACCUGUGGCGAGGGCGGUCUACCAGAACACGUUCGACGGUGAGGGAUGAAAGCUGGGGGAGCAAACCGGAUUAGAUACCCGGGUAGUCCCAGCUGUAAACUAUGCAAACUCAGUGAUGCAUUGGCUUAUGGCCAAUGCAGUGCUGCAGGGAAGCCGUUAAGUUUGCCGCCUGGGAAGUACGUACGCAAGUAUGAAACUUAAAGGAAUUGGCGGGGGAGCACCACAAGGGGUGAAGCCUGC